Molecule: long non-coding RNA, 18633 nt
Organism: Pseudopipra pipra
Lineage: Eukaryota; Metazoa; Chordata; Aves; Passeriformes; Pipridae
Exons: 2
Source: RefSeq, a predicted model, not a curated record
ACCCUGAGCUAUGAAAUACCUUUGGAAAAUCCUAACUACCUCCUACUCCCUCCUUUCCACCCUCAAGGAUGUGACACAAUCUCUUGAACUAAGGCAAAUCUGCCCUGGAUGGAAAUUUUUACCACAGCUAAAACACAGGGUGAUUCCUAUGUAGUAAAUGUGGUUUACCCUGGGAUCAGUAGCUUGUGUGCUCUUGGUCUAGGGUGGCUACAUCUAGGAUUUGGCCUAGAAAUUUUUAUCUCAGGACAAGUCAAGUUAGUGGUUUUGCUCUGAUUUUACCUGUUCUCUGAAUGAAAUUAUUCAGUCUCCAGUGUUCCCAAUACAGUGCUUGGCUGCAAUUUGCCCAAGACUAGUUCUGUCCUGUCAAUCUGAGUGUUUGUAUUUGAAAGUAAUGCUGUGUUUCAUGGGGAAAAUCAGCAACAUUAUAGUGAGUCAAGGAGAAGUAUGAAGUCAGUUGGCAUAACUUACAAAGGGAGAAACUGGCGUGUUAAAGAUUUCAUCCUACAAAAUGCCUUUAAAUCAAUUCAGAACACUCUUUCAUCAAGGACUAAAUCCCCAAGGAUCAAGGACCACUUUAGUCACAUUAAGACCACUUUAAUCCUACAUGAGGACAACCAUUUGGGGCUUUAAUGCACAGUGAUUUUCCACGGUCAGGUAAAUUGGCUUAACUUACCGAGUGUCUCUUUGCUUACAGACUCAAAAUUUCUUUUGUUUUGCUUUUUUGCACUGUCCUGCAGGAAAGGACUGCUGCUUCCCACCUGCUACCCCACGUGUGCCCAAUCCUCUUUUGUUCCCUAAGUCACUGACUCAUCGCUUCUGUCAACUCUUGACUCUCAUUGCAAAGUUUUGUAUGCUGUAACCUAUAUAAAGAAAUUAAUUUCAUUCAAGUGUAUUAGCAAGCAGCCUGGAGGGGAUUUUAUUUGGUUGGGUUUUUUUCUGUACAGUGCCAGAAACCAAUUUCCCCAAAUCUUCAAGAUUUCUGAAACACCUGACUCACACUCCUGAGUUGUCAGGACUACUUCAUGGUUGUGUUUUACUCCUUCAUUCACUGUUUUCUUUAUUUAAAGCUUAUAAUUUUUCCAAAAUUAUUUUGAUUAUGCUACAAUUCACAUAUUUCACAUAGAAAUAGUAAGUCCAUCUACUCUCUCACUGUAAUUAGACAGUAAUGUAACACAUUUGAAAAUAAACAAAUCAGGCAUGAGGUGGUUUUAUGGAACAAUACAGAACAAGUGGGUGGACAGGAAUGUAGAAAUAAAGCCAGGAUUCUGAGUGGUAAAAAUUGGCUCAUCUCCAUUAGCUUGCUAGAGCUACAAUAGCUUGAACUCUUGCAUUUGGCAAUGAGCAAUAAAAUUAUAAAAAUACAUAGUAUUAGGAAAAACAUGUCCUUUUAAGCUGUUCUUUCAGUGAAUUUCUGCUGGCAGCAGCACAGCUUCAGAAACAAAUGAUCUAAAGUUAGAUUUCUGUAGUUACACUCUUGGCUAUAACUUGCAUGGAGUUACAGCAGAGGAACUGUGCAGAAUAGGAAGUGUCUCUGUGAUAGCUAAAGUGACUACUAAUAUACAGCAGUCAAAUUCAGAGAUUUCUCCAUAUUGUAAGGAACUGAAUGUCCAAGAAAUACAAUGAUUUUAUGGUUUGUAACUUUAUGCCACUGAGCAAUGGAGAGUAAGAAACAUUGAAAAAUUUCUGCAAUUUUUUUCCCCCUUCUUGCUAGCAUAGCUUCUUCUUUUCUGGAGUACUGUUAAAAAAAAAAAAAAAAAAGACAAAAUACCUUUAGAAAAAAAGUCAGGAUACAGGUUCCAAAUUCAAGAUGGUGUUGGAAGUUGUAUUCCCAUCCUGCCAGUCAUCCCUAACUUCUGUUUAUAGUUUCUCACAGUCAGAUUUCUGGUUUGUGUAAAUUAGUUGGGAUCCCCUUGGCAUCUUGCAGGAGAUCAUAGUCAGUGCUCAAAAAAGAAUGAGGCACCUAAAAUCCGCUUCAGCCAACAUUUUAUGACCACUAAGAGGAGAAAAUCAGAUCUUUGUAGCCUGGCUUCCGGCGAAGAAUCUAUGGAUAGAAAUGUGUCUUGAAACAAGACCUUAUCUACUUGUUUGUUGCUGUUUAAGGAAGUCAGGUCAUUAAAUCCGGUCAUUCAUAUCAAUCUUUACUUGGGAUUUUUGCUUGUCUUUUCUAUUUUUCUUUAAGUCAAAAGAUCUUAUGACACCUUUGUAAGAUCUCAUCAUAGCUGUGCUCUAGUUAUUAGUUAGAAGUCUGAUAAAAUGUGCUAUUACGACUCUCCAAAUGUAGUCUUCCGCUCUCAUUUAUUUGCUGCUUCUGGCUGAGAGCAUCUCUUCAAAUGGCUUAACAUAGCACAUAAAUAUCAUGAAUUUGCAAAAUAUGGAGCAUCAAAGAAGACAAUUACAUCAUACCCUGCCCUCCCUUAUUCCUCAGGCUAAUAUAAAAUAUGCUUUUGUUAUUGAACUGGAAAACAAGUUGUUGUUUUUCUUAAAAUUUAGGUUAUGGUAAAAGGCUAAAGUUCCACACACUUACAUGGGGAAUAUUAUAUAUAUGAAUCAACUUCACUGCAUUUUCCUCCUCCCUGAUGCUAACUGUAGGGCUAGUGAUCUCUACCAGCAAUGAGGUAUGUGCCAUUCCAUGCUGGGCUUGAGACCGACACAGGAUUUUCACGGCUUUUGGCUGAGUUUCACAUCUACUCUUAUCCUGAAAUUAGCAAAAGUAUUUGUGUGGAGCUCAACCAAGCUGUUAGAUUGUUUUGUGUAGCUGUCUCAGGUUCCCUACAAUGAAUGAUACAACACUCACCUGUAUUGCCAGCGAUCACACCAAGGUAGACCUCAGGAGUACUGGAAGACCAGAAUUUGCUCAUAAUUGUUAAUGCUGAUACAGUUGUGUGUGGCCUUUUAGACAACAUCUGGAGCUCUGGGGAGGCUGGGUAGAGAGAAGUCAGAUUUAAGAGUCUGAGAACUUGCACAGAGCCGACCCCCUCAGACAUCAUGGGCCUUCGGGGCUGCAGCCAGGGAGAGCUGCCAGGGGCUGCCAUCAUCACUUAUCUGCAUAUAGAAGGACAUGAGUAAUGCUUUGGAUGUCACCCCGUACCUCCCCCGCUGCAGAGUGGUGGUGCUGCUGCAGCAGAGCCACAAUCAACCCCUGGAAUCCAGGGUGGCAGCAGGAAAGCUGUCUCACUCGCAUUUUAUAUCACAGAUAAACCUCUGGGCAUAAGUGACACUUUGGUCUUGACUAAAAAGGAAUACAGAGCUCAAUCUGAGUUUUCUUCCCUAGAUUUUUGGUAGUUUUUCUGUUACUUCGAGUGCCAUGCACCUCAGUCCUUCACCAGGUUCUCACUUCUGUAAGUUCUCACUGUCCGGUGAAUAAGGAUGCUAAGUGUGCGCACUCUUCUUAGUGGGUUGUUUUUCUUAGAAACAGGAAGAAAGAGGAGGUUGGUUUGUAUUUUUCGAUGUCACAUCUUAAGGAAAUAAAGUCUUUGUCAAAGAGUUUUGAACAUGCUGGCCAGUUUCAGCAAAAGGGAUGGCUGAACAGAGAUCUGGAAGACAUGAAGGUCUGACAGGUGACCGGAUGGGAGCAGGAAAGAGGGAGUAGCAAGGGGAACUCAGCUGAGGUUUCUUUCUGACAGCAGCUGGUUAACCAGUGACCGUGCCUGUAGCUCUUCAUACCCUGUGCUCACUUGUGCUCAGCAGAAAGCCCAAAGGCUAUAAACAAGAUACAUAAGUAGCUCUUCGGAUGUUACAUGAACAGAUCAAGAGACUGUAAGUGGAGCUGGAGUUGAGGAGAAUUUAGGAGAGACAAAGACUGGUGAUGGCAAUGCUGCAAGAAACAUAGGUGAAGUUGGAUUACAUAUAUUGGUUAGGGCUCAGGACACAUAAUAUGGAUUUGUAACUUGUCAGGCUUAUUUUGCUUUCCUGCUAAUGGAAUAAGUAAUUUCCCUCUUUAGUCCCAAUUGCCAUAGCUUUGGUUUUGUAUCAGCUCCCUCAUCAACCAUGACUAGAAAUGCAGACACCAGCUCCCACAGCAGCUUGAAAUUUUAGCAUGACAAAAAUAGUGUUUCCUAGCUAGGGAACAGUUCCCCAGUAACUGCAGUAAGCAAAUGGAAGAGCCACAGUUCUGAACCGUGUGUGCACUUGUGUCAACAGUGGUUCUCUCAGUGCAGCGAUCUGUACAAAUUAGAGGCAGAAUUCACUACAGAGCCAGCUCAUGUAAGCAGAGCUUACCCAAAGUGUAGUGUUUAGCACCUUCUCCUACUCUCGGCUUUCUGAUGUGUUUAGUGUGGGUGUUCUGCAAACAUGAAUAGGACUUAUCAAGCUGUGACCUUGACAGAGCUGGUGUUUUGCAAGAAACCAGAUUCUGCUGUACAGUGCUUGUGUAAAAGUCACUAGCAGUCCACAACAGGGUACUUUGCCACUUUCUCGGUGACUGGAGAUUUUUUCACUAGGCAGCAUGCCUAGCUCAGAGUCAGUCCCAAACAAAGACUAAGUCUAGAUCUGUUACCUACUUCCAGCAAUAGCAUUUGCAAUAGAUCUGAUCGCUGUUCCCUCUGUCGAGGUAACUGUGUCACCCUUUUGCAGUUGAGUGUUAUGUUCUUAUAUGACUUGAGUUUUACUGAAGUCCUAAAGCAAAAGGCAACAGCAAAAAGAUUUCUGUGAGCCUCCAAGAAAGUGGGGGGAUACAACAAAGUGAAAAGGCUUGGGAUAAUUACCCCCAGAUUUCCAGGAUCCAUGUUAUUCAUCAUGUAUGUGAUCUGAUGAAAAGCCUUGUGGAACUUUACAGGACCUGUAAAAGGCAGUGUUGUGCCUUGUCAGGGAACAAAUGGCCGCUGGAAAACCUGGUUGCAGAGAGCAAACCAGAAGUUUUGCAUGAUAUUUGUUUUACCAGGAUGAAAGAUGCUGCAACUAUAUUCUUUGUAGACAGACAGUGGGCACAGGUCUGCAAAAAUGGUGCAAAACAUAAAAAGCCCACAAGUUUACUCUGCAGAAAAUAAGAAGGCCAUCAUUUAUUAUUGUCCUAGUCUAGCAUUGUGAAGAUCUAGCAGUAAAAAGUGUAAUGGAAAUGACAUGCCAAAGUAGUGACACCCUUUUUUUCUUCCAAGAGUUCUGUCACAGUCAUUGUCCUCACUAGUUUGUCUUACUGCCCUCACUAGUAAGUUUCAGAAACAUUCUGAGAAGAUAAUUGUUUGCAGCUUUUAUGAUUACAUCACUGGAAUGCUGUCAGAAGAAAAUGCCUGCCCUGAGCUACCACAAGAUAUUGAGCUGCCAAAGCAAGUGGUUCUGUCUAAUCAAGGAACUAGAGGCCUCUGACUUUUCUCAGCUCUGCUUACAGGACAGUUGAAAACAGUGAAAAAAUGUUACAUCCACAUGGACAGCUUAACAUGCUCAUCUGACCUUCAAAAAGAGUUGUCAAGAGUUUAUUGUGGAGACAGAGGAGAAAGGAGAAGCAGAUUGCUAAUACAAAACUAGUGCUUAUAAUCUAGAUGGGUUUAAAACACAGUGAGAUGUCAUUGCAAAUCUCCAGUGGUUCACUUCACACCACGAAAAGGACUUGGGCUUAGUCACUCAAAAACAUGUCACUGUUAGUUGUGGGCAAUUUCUUUGAAAAGUUACUAUUACUAUGACUCAUCCAGGCACCAGUCAGUUCUAUUGUAUUGUAAAUAUGUUGUAUUCCUGAUAAAUUGAUUUUAAUUACACACAUUUUAACAGUUUACAGACUUCUUAGUAUUGAUGAGUUUCCAUAUUAAGGUUUUUUUAUUACAUCUGGAAAAGGCCUUUUACAUGCACACAUUUUUAGAACACCAGCAAUUUUUUAAUCAGGCCAGUGUUUACCUUUUAUAUCCCAUUACUCUGGUUUGGGUGUCUACUUUCAAGGUUAAAAGUGUCAGUGUUCCUUUCCACUGGGCGGUGUGCUUUGGAGUGCUUUUGUAUCAGCUGAGAAAUCUUUGGAGGAAAACGGUAAUUAUAUGACAAUGUUCUUUUUAUCUCUUGUAUUACAACAGCAAAGAAAUGUAUAAAAUUCACAUGAUCCAACAUCAUCUCUAGCCCAGGAAAUUCAGACUGCUUUAAAUAAGUAGCAGUGGCAUGGAUGAGACAGAACAAAUGACAACGCACCAUGGAUCUGGGAACUGGGGUUUACUUAACAACUAACAAGAUUAGAACUGUUACCCUUCUUAAUUAUUUCAUGCACUCUCUCAUUCUUGCCACCACCCCAAGUGUUAUGUCUCAACUUCUCUUCACAGCAGGAACAUCACUGUUCAUCCAGGAAGGCCAUCCCCUAGCAUUCAGCAACACACAGCCCUCAGGACUCUAGGAUCUUCCUCCACUUUCAGGACCUUUCCUCUAGCCAAGAUCUCCACCUUUCUUUUUCCAGGCCACCUUCUUUUUACUGAGACCACUUCUUUUUGGGAACCCUUCAUUUUGUCACCAGCUAUUCUUUCCAAAAUUCAAGGACCCCAUUUUCCCUAGUUUCAACAGUCUGAAGUGCAUGCAUAUGAUCAGCCUUGUAAUUGGUGGCUCUGGCUCAUGUCUCUUCAUUAAUUGAAGGAUUCAGGACGUGCUGCUUUUGUUUAGUCCAGGUGUUACCAAAAUUCACUACCAGCCUGUACAAGUUGGAGUUAGUAAGCAGGAGGCUUCUAGGCUGAGCUUGACAGUUCAGGAGUUCAGCUUCAGACAUUCUCCCCCAUACACAUGCACACAACUAUCUGUCCCCUGUAGCUUUCACAAUUCAAGCCAUUUUUUACCUAGGGCAGGCAGGUGUUAGGAUAAGCUAGACAAGACAAUAACAAAGUUAAUAAAAACAGUGGUAAAACUUGACAUCAGCACCUGCAAAUAGUAGAUAACUCUGCAGUACAGGGCUGUCCAAACUAGCAUAAGCUCAACCCAGUGAGUCCUAGAGAGCAUCCACCCGAGAGCAUGGGUAUACUGCUUCCAGAAUCAACCUGGCUCACAAGAAGCCCAUGUGGAAAUCUCCACACCGAGACCAGAGUUACUAUGCCACCUAGUUAAUUCUACACCAGCUAGCUAGGAGGAGACUGUCAUUAUUUUGGUUUUGGAUGGAUUAAUAUAAACUAAAGCUCACUUGCCUAUUUCAUACAAGCUAAAAAAAGACAAGAAUGACUGAAUCUGGUGACCAGGAUGAUAGUAUUUUACCAGAAGCCUGCUCAAUACUUGCAGUGCUUCAACCCAGAUUUUAUUAGAGAUUCUUUUGCCUUUUUCAUCUUUUGUAUUUCUAGGAGCUGAUUUCCAUUUACAAAGUUAUUUCAGCUGGAUCACAUAUCUCAGCUUCAUUUAAAAUGGCUGAGAUUAUUUAAUUCUAUUCAUUGUGAAAAGAGGCUCCAGAGUGUUGGGCGUUCACAAUGGAAAACUAUUUUUAGUCUGUUUUCAUAUGGAAGCAAUGCCUGCUCACCCAGGUUGUUUGUUCACCCAUCUAUCAAUUUAGUUCUACUAACUAUGAACUUCAGACUGAUUUCAGGCAUAUUUGGCAAAUUCGCAAAGUUCCUGCAAAUUAUGUAAAAAACCUGUGGUUUGGUAGAAAAAAUCAUAUUAUUUCCUUUGUGAUGCAGGAAAAGGAGGAAAUACUCAGCCAUUGUUCUUUUGGGAGAGAAUGGGCUGACCUGUUAGCCUGUGCUACUAAUGGACCAGCUGCAGAGCUUGAAUUCAGCUAGAGCACAUCUGGCCUCUUCCCUGCCUGGUAAUUAGAGGAUCUGCAGUGAGUAAAUGAAAGCCCUCAACCCACACCCUCUGGCAUAGCUUCUGCUGUGGUAGCCCUGUGGCAUUCCCCCAGGAGAUACAGACUUCCCUCACGGGGAGGAAGGCGAACUGGUUCUCACACAUCUUCUCCAAGUGCUUCAGUUACUACUUCACUUUUUUGAAUCUGGCCCUAAUCAUAUUUGCAAACAGCCUCGAGAUGACAGCAACCACAGUGGUAGUUUUACUGGCGUUUUUCUAAUGGUCUUCUUGCCAGUUGUGCUUAGACCUGUCCUUGGAUGUUGCAGUUCAGUCAGAGCCCACUGCACACAAGUGUGCCACAGCCUACAUUUCUUUCAACAAGCCUUAUCUUGAAUUUUGUCUGUUGGUGUCCUGAUUUCAGCUGGGGUAGUGUUAAUUUUUCUCCUAGUAGCUAUAGGUGCAGUGCUAUAUUUUGUAUUAAGUAUGAGAAUAACGUUGAUAACACAGUGAUGUUUAGUUGUUGCUAAGUAGUACUUACUCUAAACCAUGGACUUGAGAUUUUCCAUGCUCUGCCAGUGCACAGCAAGCUGGGAGGAAGCAGCACAGCCAGGAAAGCUGAUUCGAACUGGCCAAAGAGAUAUUCCACACCACAGAACAUCAUGCUGAGUAUAUGAACUGGGGGGGAAUUGGCUGGGAAGAGUGACCACCACUCAGGGAUGGGAUGGGCAUCAUUUAUGCUUGGUGAGCAACUGUAUUGUGAGUCACUAGGGGGUUUUUUUGUCCUUGAGUUUUAUUUCUCUCUCUCUUUUUGUUACCUCCCUUUUCAUUACUAUUAGUAGUAGUAGUAUCAGUAUCAUACUUGACUUUAUUCCAAUUAUGAAACUGUUAUUAGCUCAAACCAUUGCAUUUACCCUUUUCUAGUUCUGCUCCAUGCCCCACUGGGGAGGGGGAGUGUGUGAGUGGCAGCAUGGUACUUAGUUGCUGCUGGGGUUAAACCAUGGCAGUUGAUACUUCAUUUACAAUUAUAUUGCUUCCAGACAUUUACAGUAGCUUUAUUAGAUCCAUCUGGUAUUCUUCAUAAUCCUCCCAAACUGUGCCAAACCCAAAUAAUCUGUAUCACAAGCAAAUAUUACUACCAGACCAUUCAUCCUUCCAGACUCUGAAUAAUAUACAGAACAGUGGCUCCAAUCAGGGUCCUUGGGGCAUCGUGCUAUUAACCUUUUUCCAUUUUAAGAGGCAGUAAUUUAUUCUAGCUCUUCACAGUCUCUCUCUCAGCUAGUUUUUAACUCAUGAUAUGACUUUACCUUUCACUUCUGAUUCUGAAGUUCCUUUACAGCCUCUUUGAAAAAAACUUCAUUGACAACAUUUCAAGGCUCUAAAUCAACAUCAUCUCUCAUCCUUCCUUAGCCUUUUAAUAUUGAAAGAACAUUUACAUCUUGGAAAAUAAAUGGUUUUUCCACCAUUAUUAAGUGACUUCAUUUUGGCUUAUCAAAGCCAGUGCAUGGGAGGCAUAUUUGCUUGUUUUUCUCCCCCUAUGGUUAUGACCAUCUGCUUCCAGCCUACAAUAGUCCUUCAGCUGCCUCAGAAAUACACCAUUAAUUCUUUACCUUAUACGAAGCUAAAAAUCUAUAACCCAGAUGAUUCCUAAAAUCAACAUGAGUUCCACUUUAAGAGUGAAUAUUGCGUUUUUUCAUUUUCUCCUUGCAAAGAAAUGUUUGCCAUAACACAUUGCCUUAGCUCUCUAAGGUCAAAUAAACAACCCAUUUAAUUCAAGAGCCAUUUUUCAUUUUGUGGGAUGGAUUUUUCAAAUUCAGCUGCUUCUUAUUUUAGUUCUCACUAGACAUUCUUAUAUCACUUGCUUCCAGCUAUGUUUAAUUUCAUCUUUUCAAAGAUGUCUCUGGGACAUGUCUGUUGCCUUUAUUACUUGAAAAAACAAGGAUAACCCUGAAUUCCCCACAGGUAGUUAUUUCCUGCCAUUCCAUUAUACUAAUAACUGUGACAAUCAUAGAAUUUGUAGGUUGGAGAAGACCUUUAAGAUCAACCAUUAAUCCAGCUCUGCCAGGUCUACCUAUAAACUAUGUCCCGAAGUGCCACAUCUACAUGUUUUUUAAAUACCUCCAACGAUGGUGAUUCCACCACUUCCCUGGGCAGCCUUUUUCAAUGCCUCACCACCCUUUUGGUGGACAAAUUUUUCCCAAUAUCCAAUCUAAAUCUUCCCUGGGAGAACUUGAGGUUGUUUCUUCUCAUUAUAUACUAUGUUACUUGGGAGAAGAGACUGACAACCACCUGGCUACAGCCUCCUUUCAGGCACUUGUAGAGAGUGAUAAGGUCACACCUGAGCCUCCUGCAAGCUAAACACCCCCAGCUUCCUCAGUGUAGUGGGUUGACCCUGGCCAGAUGCCAGGUACCCACUAAAGCCUCUCCCUCUGCAGCUGGACAGAGGAGAGGAAAAAAAACAGCUUCAUGAGUUGAGAUAACAGCUGGGAGAGGUCAGUGACUGAUUACCUUCACAGGCAAAACAGACUCAAAGUGGGGAUAGUACUUAAAUUUAUUACUAACAGGAUAAGAGCCAAAGAACAAGAAAUAAAAGUCUUAAAACCACCUUCCCUCCACCCCUCCUUCCUUCCAUGUUCUCCCUCCUCCCCCCCAGUGCUGCAGGGGGCUGGGGAAUGGGGGGUUGCAGUCAGCUCUUGUUUCUGCCUCUGCUCAGGGAGAGGAGUCCUUCCCCCUGCUCCCAUGGGGUCCCUCCCACGAGAGACAGUCCUUGAUGGACCUCUCCAGCAUGAGUCCAUCCCUCAGGCAGCAGUUCUUCCCAAACUGCUGUCCCGUGGGUCACUCCUCCAUGGGGUGCAGUCCUUCACGAAUGAACUGUACCGGCAUGAGUCCCCCACAGGGGCCACAAGUCCUACCUGGGAUAAACUUGCUCCAGUGUGGGCUUCCCUCUCCACGGGUUGCAGGUCUCCAGCAGGACCCUGCUCCAUCCUGGGCCUCCCACAGGGUCACAGCCUCCUUCAUGGAUCCACCUGCUCCAGCAUGGGCUCCUCCGUGGGCUGCAGGUGGGUCUCUGCACCCCGAUGGUCCCCCAUGGGCUGCAGGGGCACAGCUGCCCCACCAUGGUCUGCACCAUGGGCUGCAGGGCCUCAGCUCCGGCACCUGGAGCACCUCCUCCCCUUCCUUCUGCGCUGACCUUGGUGUGUGCAUUGUUGUUCCCAUGUUCUCACCCUGCUCUUCCCUGGCUGGAAUUCUUUCUGCGCAACAACUUUCUGUUCUCAAAUAUGUUAUCACAGAGGUGUUACUAUCACUCCAAAUUGGCUUGGCCUUGGCCAGUGGCAGGAACUCUGUCCUGGAGCUGGCUGGCAUUGGCUCCACCGGACAGGGGAAGCUUCUAGCAGCUUCUAACAAAAGUCACCCCGGUAGCUGACCCCCCCACCCCCGCUACCAAAACCCAGCCACAGAAACCCACUACACUCAGCCACUCCUAAUAUGACUUAUGCUCCAGACCCUUCACUAGUUUCAUUGCCCUUCUCUCCAGCACCUCAAUGCCUUUGUUAUCAUGAGGGGCCCUAAACUGAACACAGGAUUCAAAUUGCAGCCUCCUCAGUGCCAAGUACAGAGGAACAAUCACUGCCCUCGUCCUGCUGGCCACGCUAUUUCUGAUACAAGCCAGGAUGCUGUUGGCCUUUAUGGCCACCUGGGCACACUACUGGCUCAUGUUCAACUGCUGUCAACCAGCACUUCCAAGUCUUUUUCCGCUCUUUCCCAAGCCUGUAGCGCUGUUGCGACCCAGGUGGAAGAUGUGGCAUUCAACCUGUUGCAUCUCAUACAAGUGGCCUUGGCCCAUCAAUGCAGCCUGUCCAGAUUCCUCUGCAGAGCCUUCCUACCCUCCAGCAGAUCAACACUCCCACCCAACUUGGUAUCAUCUGCAAACUGACUGAGAGUGCGCUUGAUCUCCUUGUCCAGUCAUUGAUAAAGAUAUUAAACAGAACUGGCCCCAGUACUGAGCCCUGAGGGAUAAUGAAUGUAUAUAAGCAGCUCCGUGUCUCUGCCAAAUAUUUUCCUUCUUCAGUUGUGAAUGGAGUACCUUCUGGUUUUAAAGAUUAUAAAAUACAUUUGUUCAAUCUUGGUUUCUUCAAGUGUGUACAGACCAAUGAUCUCAACAUUUUUGGUAUAAUAUUUGCCGAACUAUUCAACAGGUUUGUUUUUAUUUGUUUGGUUUUUUUUUUUAUUUCAUUUAAAAAUAGCAGCUUAUUAAAAUAAAAAUCUUAACAGCUGAGAAAUCUCUGUCUAUUUGUAUUCAAAAGGAGAUUUUAGAAGUGGCUGGCUUUAAAACCUUGUGUGGAUAUCCCUUUCCUACACCUCUUCUGGAUGCAGAAAAGUGGAAAGGCAGCUGCACAUUUCUGUCAUGGUUGAGGGCACUGUUAAUUGAAUUUGUGCUAAGUGACUACUUGCCUAAUCAGCAACUGACUGGAUUUGAGGUGAUCAUGAUGAACUGGCCAUACCUGGCUUGCAGGUGAGUAAACUUCCUUUCAUGUCUUUUGCUAGUAACCUCUAUAUUUGUGCUUUACCCAACAUGGGCUGUAUGGGAAGUUCGCUUUUCCUCUACUUUACUUUAUCAGCCAGUCAUGUCAAACUGUGGCACUAAUGCCAUAAAUACUAUUGUUUUUCUCUUUCUCAGCAAUCACCUCUGACUUCAAUUAAAAGCUCUCAUUGCUUUAUCAUUUUCAAAACUUCCUUAACCACAGAGAUCCAUUCCUGAGCAGUAAACCCUUAGAAAAACAGCAUGGAUGAAAGGAUACAUUGAGUAAUAGACUGGGUGGUCAGUCUUGCCUCAAUUAUCAUGAAGAAAUAGUGGGGGAUGGAGAAGGUUGUCUUCCCACAGCUGCCUGGAUUCUCAUCAAUAUCUUGAAAGGCAAAGGCAAAUCACAGCCACUCAACAUUUUGAUCCAUUAGGUGAGGCAUCUGACACACAACUCAUUGAACUUAAAGAAUGAGUUUUCCAUUGAUUUCAACAGCUCUAGAUGUGGUCUGAUGCUGCUGCCUGGAACAGUAAUGCUUCUUCAAAUAAAGCAGAAGAUUUCAUUUCUUGGCUGUCCCUUCUGCCUGGAACCACUGCUGGCCUCUGGCAAAAAAAAAAAAAAAAAAUCUGUCUGGACUUACUGACUUGUUUGUGUGGAGCCAGGGUUACGAUGUCUGGGAAGACGUAUUAUUCUGUCAAAUAAGGUCUGCUGGCAGCCCUGAAAAUGUGAAGUAAGCUUACUAGUAUGUAUCUGAACCAUUUUAAAAUUCAGGCCCUGACAGUAAUGGCUGCAAUACAGAAGGAGGAGAGGCUACUACUGUACAUCAACAGAACUAACCUAUCUUAGUUUUUUCCCCAGAUAACGGCAACUCGGCAGUCAGAAUGAACAGUUUUCCUGUUGGAAACCUGUUGCAAAAUUAGUAGUUAAUUCACCACAGCAACAGGCAUGCUUUCUACUGUCCUCUGGUGAAACUCUUAGCUCAGUACAGGCACCUAAUGGCUAUGGCAGUGGAUGGAUCUCCUACAUUAACCUGUUACUGAAGUGCAGGUCUGGGAGUGUAUGCUGGUUUUGGCUAGAGUAGAGUUAAUUUUCUUCACAGUAGCUAGACUGGGGCUGUCUUUUGGAUUUGCGCUGAACAGUGUCAAUUAUAUAGAAACAUUUUUGUUAUUGCUGAGCAGUGCUUACACAGAGCCAAGGUUUUCUCUGCCUUUCAUACUGUAACACAAGCAAGGAGGCUGGUAAUGCUUGGCAAGUUGGGAGAAAGCACAGAUGGAACAGGUGACUCCAACUGACCAAAAGGGAUAUUCCAUACAAUAUGACAUCAUGCUCAGUAUAAAAAGGAGGUGGAAGGAGAAAGAAGUUUAUGUUCCCAAGUAACCGUUACAUGUGAUGGGGCCCUGCUCUCCUGAGUUGGAUGAACACCUGCCUGCCCAUGGGAAGCAGUGAUUUAAUUCCUUGUUUUGCUUUGCUUGCAUGCACAGCUUUUGUUUCUCCUGUUAAGCUUUCUUUAUCUCAACCUACAAGUUUUCUUUUCCCCCUGCGAUUCUCUCCCCAGUCCCACUGGUGAGGGAGUGAGCGAGAGGCUGUGUGGUACUUGAUUUCUGGCUGUAGUUAAACCACAACAGGGUGUGUAGAAUCAAUAGGCACAAACUGGAUGUAACUGUGCUCAGUCUGAGAACUGGGAGACUGUCUGAUCACUGGAGCAGGGAGGCUCUGGAACAGCUCUUUGGUUGGAGGCCAGAAGCGUAACUUUCAAGUGAGUAUGAGGAGAGUUGACUCUCUGCUCUUUCAUUCUGACACCAGUCAGGAAUAACUGUUCACUAACAAGUUUAAUGUUUGCAGCUGGACAUGCACACAUUGUCAGGGUCAUGCUCAUUACUGCUAUUAUUGACACUUGCUGAGUAUCACAUGCACUCAAAUGAAGUACUAACAACCUUAAGGUUCACACAAUGGAAAACUUUGUUCAUGCUGGCAGGAAAUAUACUUUGUAGGUCUAAUUUACAGGGUUUGAACAAUAUAAUUUAUUUUUACUUUGAAGUUAAGUGCAAAGGCAUCUAUCCCAUGGCCUUCCAGAUAUAAAUUCAGUGUCUUAUUCUUACUUUUUGUUCAUGGUCCCAAAAGAAUGAAGUAAUUUGACAUCAGCAGUUUUUGUGCAUUACUGUUUCCAUGUUUUUACCUGUUGUGUGUAUUCAAAGGAAAAGAAUAGGAAAGCUAGUCCUAAUAAGAGAAACUGAGAUCCUAUUCUCACCGCAGAAAUCAUGACAGUAAUCAAAGAUUAAAGAGUCUGUGUUCAGAUCCUCUGAGAAAAGGAGAGCAGAGCCCUAACCUCUGGAUUUGAAGUGCUCCAGGCUGUGUGCAAUAGUUAAGGAAAAAGAAUAACACAGGAGGUAUGCCUGGGCCUCACCCAGAGCCCAAUGAAGUAAGCAGAAACUUUGGUUGCUUUAAGUCUUGAUAGAUAAGUCUUCCAUCUGCAUCUAUCUCAGACUCCAGAAAGCCAAAGGACCCUUGGGUGUGGAGUAUCUCCACUAAUUCUUUGCACUCCACAGGAGGUUUCUGUCUCUCCUACUCCAGAUAGAACCCCUCGCUAGCAAUUGCAAGAACCAGGCCUGCAUCAAUAGGGAGGGAUAAUCUGGCCCACAGUGCACUGAAUUACACUGUUGCCUAAUAGCUGUAUUGCUCUCUGCCAGCUGAAUGGCAUCUGGAUGCCAGAUUCUGCAGAGACCUGUAUCACUUAUCUGUAAACAUGCUUUCUGAAUACAGUAAACCUCCAUGUACUCUGAUACUUUCUGCCUUAAGUAACAUGGAAAAAAAUAGGACUAAUUUUUUUUUCCAUCUGACUGCAUUUUAGACAAAUACUAAAAUCCCAGAACACUUGGACAAAUGAGUAAUAGUCACCAAUGAGGGGGAGGAGGAUAAAUGUUAUAAAACAGCAUCUGGUAUGUAUGAAACCAGCACAAGACUGAGAAAUCCAGAAUAUUCAAUUGCCAGUUUGCUAGCUUUUCUUCUUAAAGGAAGGUGCUACUAUUAAAAAAAAAACUAAAAAUCAGAAUUACUUCCUCUUGGAAACCUUGGGGUUGCCUCUCAUUUCCAAGGCAGUAUUAAAGUUACUGCUUGGAAAAAUAUCCUCAUCUGUGUGAAGAAUAAGAAACAGUGAUUCUUAAUUCUCUGUUUUUCUAGAGGUCUGGAUGUUAGGUUGGGUCAUUCCCCACACAGUGACCACUUAACAUUCAGAAGUUGGCCCUCAAAUGCAGUAAGCCCGGGAGCCAGAUGGAAUACAACUGGGAUCUCCCAGUUUCCCUGGAGCUAAAUAAAAUACACAAAUAAAACUCAAAUCAAAAGCAAGGAAAGUACUUCUAGCAGCAGUGAUUAAUAUUACUGUUUGUAGUUUAGUGAUUUCCAAGUCCACAUAUCCUACUGUGGCAAAUAAUGCACAAACACAGGCACACACAAAAGACAGGUUCUGCAGAGACUGCAUUUUUGGCUUUUGGGUCUUUUUUAAGCCAUAUAUGUUGCAUGCCUUCUCUAUUUCUCUGGUGUGCACUGGCACCUCCUGAGAUGCAUCAGCAGUGCUGUGGAAAGAGGCUGUAAAGCUGUGUUAUCAUGUCGUUACAUGUCAUGUCAUGUUGCGUAUAUCAUGUUAUGCAGCAGGUAUACACUAUGUAUGGUCAUGGCAGACACGGUAAAUCUGUGCAUCUUUUUAAUGUUUGCUGUCCAGUUCCUUGUAUUCCAGCUUUGUAAAUUUUGGGCUAGAGCAAACUUCUUUUUGGUACAUUGACCCUCUCGCUGAGUGCCAGGCUGGAGGAUAUUCAUUCCUUUUCAGUUUUUCACCUUUCCAUUUUCUGGUCACACAUCUGCUUUGCCAACAUGGAAAGACGUGAGCGUUGCAGCUCUCUACUCUCACCUGAAUAAGUAAAUGACAAUCAGUUUAGCAGCUUGUAAGGGGAAGAAAAGUAAACAGUGCUGUGACAGCAGGUCUGCUUUCGCCCACAGCUAUAGAGCUCUGACCACCACACAAAUUGAAGGGCACAGUCAAGACUGCUUGAAGUAUUGAACAAUUAAUGAAUUUUGCAACAGACAUAAUAUGUUUUUACCUCAGAGGUAUCCAGAAGGGCUCCAAAGGGAAUUUAACAUGGAUAAUUCUAGUUGGGAAGCCAGACAGACCACGGAAGAAAACCCAGUAACUAUGGUAAUGUGAAAAGAGGCCUGGGCAGCCUGGGGAGAUAGGCAACAUUUAGAAGUACCAGCAAGAAAGAUACAGGAAAAGUAAUGCCAGUAGCUUCCAUAAGACCAGCCAGUAAGUGCAACAGGACAACAGCAAUGUUUGUCAAGGCACUGUCAGAGGGAUAGAGGCUUCUCAGCACUGACUGAGAAUAAAAUCAAAGGUACUAGCAUAAGGACAGAAAUUACAUGAUGGGGAUGCCUGAUAGCAAGAGAAAAGGUACCAAAGACAGAUUUAUUUUUGUGCACAAAGAUGUUUCUGAAUUUCAAGACAGAUAACUCCUGCACCGGACUGAAGAUAUAUAUGCAUAGUCAUCAGAAGAGAAAGACAGAUGAAUCCAAUAACUUUGCAAUGUGCAGAACUCUCCUGCAGCUCACACCUUCUCAGCCACAAGGAUACUGAUAAAUAUAUCCAUCUGCUGUAAAUGUAGAAGCUCUUCACAAGUCUUAUUUGUCAGUUGUUCAGCUCAAACCACAGGUCAUUACUUGUGUCUCAUAACAAGCCUUUCUCUUUGUGGUCCAUAUACAUGGUAGGGAAGCUUGCUUACUCACGAGACUAAGUUUGCUUAAACAUGAAACAUCAUUGCAUGUCUUUGAGUUCAAUAGAGUUGCAGUAAUUAUUUUCACCUAAUAAUUAAAGGACAAAAAAAUCAAGCUGGGAAUCAAAAGACAAUCCCUUUCAUUGCACCACUGGAAACAUUAUUUUGAACUAUCUUUACAGAACCACAGGAAAGAGCAAGCUAAAAGGACACACGUAUUAGUAGAGUUUUAAUUCAGACCAUAUAAUUUAAUUCUGAAUUAUAAUAGAUCAAAGGGAAACUGAAAUAAAAAAAUACCUGUUGGAUUAUGUCGAAUGGAGUUCCUCUUAAUAGCUCUGAAAAGAUUACAGUCUCAUGAGGCUCCAUCAAUCAGAACAGAAAACCCAGAGAACAAGGACAAAUCAAAGGUUAAGUGCAUGGUGCUGAGGAACACUCUAGCCACCUUCCUUUUACGAUUCUAAACCGGAUGAGUUUGUGUUGGUGGAUCUAUUUAGAAGGAAAAACAGCAGUCUAUAUUCACACAGAGACUUUCUGCCCAUGCAUUUCCCCUGAUGUUUACAACCACCUUGUAUUUUGCCAUCUCAGUUAAUGAACUGUCGUUAUUUCUCUGUGUGUAUUCUUAAAAGGCUUGUUAUUAAUUUAUUUUUUAAACUUCUCUUUAGCCCAGGAAAAGAGAGCACUACAAUAUUCAUUGUUUCUAUUCAACAGAAGGGAAGAAAAAAGGAAAGGAAACAAAGCCCUAGAUCCAUAGAAAGAUCAAACUCCUUUCUGCUGUAACUCCAGUGAAAUAAUUUAAUAUAGCCCAGAGAUGUGCUUAGUCCAUGUUUUUUACACAAGAACAGUAAAGGUCCUAAAUAUUUCAGGAACCUCAAACAGGGAUUGCCUAGGGAUUGUCUAUUUGGCAGGACUCAAGAUGGAGAUUUUGGUCUCAAAGAGAAUUUUAUUUUUACAUUGUUUUUUUCCUUUCUGUUGCAGAGCUUUGAGACUGUACAUCCUCAGGGAGACAUCCAGUUACUUUUAAAUCAAGAGGUGGUCUAAGUUUGGUUUCAGUGGAAGCUGGAACAGGCCGCACACGCAUAGGAAACAUGCUGUUAUCUAACAGCGUGCUGUUAUAUCAUGUGAUCACUAGAAAGGUGUAUCAUCAACAUAUUCCAGAUGUCUAAUUUUUCCUUAACCGAUUUGCUGCUGCAGGCUAUUUGGGGCCCUUAGUUCAACAAUCGUGCUCUUUAAAAUGACAGUGAGUGCUAAUUUUGUCCUAAAACCUGGAUUUAUAAAAGCAAACUUUUAUAAAACCUGAAACCUAAGGAAUUGCCAUAUGCUAUUGUUAAAUUGCAGUUGUUUGCAUGCUGAUAUAUACCCUCCAGGAAUGCCUGAAUUCCCAUACAGCAGCAACUUGGAGCUACAUUAAACAAUAUAAUGAAAACUAAAACUGCUUCUGUAGCUUUUCAUUGACUUCCAUGCUUGAUGCUGACCAAGAAGUCAUUGCUUGAGUUUUCAUUGUGUAGGCAGCACCUCCUUAAGCUAUCAUCAGGCUGUAUGGUGUCAGUCAGCAGCAGAGGCAACAGAUGCCCUCACCACUGUAGUAGGCCAGCUCUGAAAGCAGCUUUCACGGUGUUGGGUCACUCUGGUGCCUAUGGUUUGGGAAGCCUCCACUGGAUAGCGUUCUUAAUAAAAGUGAUACUCUGUGGUGUCUCUCA